RNAcentral lists this ribosomal RNA (253 nucleotides) under uncultured bacterium. RNAcentral's name for it is "partial 16S ribosomal RNA". It matches the Rfam family "Bacterial small subunit ribosomal RNA", at positions 524 to 776 of the family's 1533-position model. The record is from RNAcentral.
UACGAGAGCCUCGAGCGUUAUCCGGAAUUAUUGGGCGUAAAGGGUACGUAGGUUGUUUUGUUAGUCUUUUGUUAAAACCCCGGGCUUAACCUGGGGACUGCGGAGGAAACGGCAAGACUAGAAAGUGCGAGAGGUGAAUGGAACUCAUGGUGUAGGGGUGAAAUCCGUUGAUAUCAUGGGGAACACCAAAUGCGAAGGCAAUUCACUGGCGCAUAUUUGACACUCAAGUACGAAAGCGUGGGUAGCGAAUGGG